GGGACAUCAUAACAGAUCUAUGGACCUGAUUGAAGCAUGCAAGUUCUAGUAGAGGAAAAUAUUACUACCAGUCAUCUUUUGACUUGCAGAGAGUCCCAGUAAGGAAGUAUUUCCCAAGUAAGUGGAUUGAUCUCAUAAGAGCACUGCCGCCAACUUUUGUCCAAUCCUAGCAGCGUUGGAUUCAAGCAUCAAUCCAUGGAGGCUCGUAUGGCAUUGCAGGAUUUCAGUGAAACACUCUUGCAUAUACUUCAAAAUACAGCACUGACAUGGCCCCUGGCAGCUGCAGCACCAGGAGCCGAAGAGGAUAUGCAGGACAAAGAUUACGGCAGCUGCAAAGUGUCAGCUAAAGGUAAGUAAAACUUACCUUGCGCCUCUGCACCUAGAUAGGUCAUUUUUUGGCCUCUACAAGAUAUGUAAAGUCCCUUAAAAGUGACAGAUAUACUUUAACUGGCAGAGAGUGGUCAAAUAAGGAGCCCAGCAUUAGGCAACUGUUUACCCCAUUACUAGGAAACAGAUCAGGCUAAUCCUCACAUCACGUGUUCUGCAGUGGACUUCAGGGCUUGUGAUGGUUGAAGUAACCACGUCGCUGCCUCUUCCUCCGCCGCUCCUCCCCUUCAUUAUGACAGCCGGCGCGAGACUGAUCCCGCCCACCGGCCGGGGAGGCCUAAUGCGCAUGCGCAGCAAUGCGGCGCACGUGCAUUAGAGCUCCCCAUAGGAAACCAUUGAAAAUGCUUUUCAAUGCUUUCCUAUGGGGAAUUGAACGACGCUGGAGGUCCUCACACAGCGUGAGCGACGCUGGAGUUAACCCUGCAAGGUAAUUAUUGCAGUUUAUGAAAACUUGCAGGGUUAAGGGUAGUGGGAGUUGGCAAUCAGACCGCUCCAAUGGGCAGAAGUGGUCUGGGUGCCUGGAGUGUCCCUUUAAGAGGCGUCCGUAGACGGAGUGCGUGCCGUACAACCUAUCGUCCCCCGUCGCCGGAAUCGCAGCUUUCAAUCAGCGCGUGUCGUGUAAAGCGCCGUCGCUCAGAGAGAGGAUUUCUGUUAAUAUUAAGAUUGGAUAAAUAUAACGUGCGCGUGGCGCAGUGGCGGUAAUGAAUGGAUUCGCCGUUACGCCCAG
This is a non-coding RNA of Pelobates cultripes (western spadefoot toad), 1114 nucleotides long. NCBI's taxonomy places the organism in Eukaryota, Metazoa, Chordata, Amphibia, Anura, Pelobatidae. The record is from the annotation of a GenBank genome assembly.